Molecule: long non-coding RNA, 316 nt
Filed under: Mytilus galloprovincialis (Mediterranean mussel)
Lineage: Eukaryota; Metazoa; Mollusca; Bivalvia; Mytilida; Mytilidae
Source: RNAcentral
UUAAUAUGUAAAGAUAGAACUUAACUAUCAAUACAUAAAUCUUUUUUUUUUACCAUUCCCCACUUUUAUUCCAGAUAUUCGAGACAGUUCUGAAAGGAAGUUUUUGCUGUUUUUUUCUUUUACAGGAAAUGUGGUAUGUGUCGUGUUUUUACAUAAAUCAAUUUUGUGAUAUGUGAUAUGUCACACCUUUAGUUACUACAUGGUCGGGUAUUUCAAUUAAAAUAGAUGGUGUUUAUGAAAAUGAUAUUUUUUUUAGUCUUGCGCUUGAUGGGUUUAUAGACAAUUUUUUAUGUUAUAAAUUACAGUUUGAUAUUUA